RNAcentral lists this long non-coding RNA (1166 nucleotides) under Felis catus (domestic cat). RNAcentral describes it as "lncRNA (ENSFCAG00000053000.1)". The record is from RNAcentral. Lineage: Eukaryota; Metazoa; Chordata; Mammalia; Carnivora; Felidae.
UAAUACUGCACAGAAGUCCUAUUUUUCUGCCUUCAAAAUGUUUUUAACUGAAACCCCAGUUUAAUUCUGGAAAUUCCAAUUUAAUCCUGGAUUCCAAUUUAAUUUGGUGGAGGAUCAAGCACAUCUCUAGUCUCUGUUAUACAGCAAGGAGGGGGAUGCAGCGUUUUCCGUGAUAAAGAUAAAUCCUAAACCUUAGAGGAGGGGGUUCUUGACCAGGGCCACACAUGGGGAAUCACCAGGGAGCUUGGGGAAAAAAAAAAUACCAACACUUGGGACCCUAACCAGAAGACUUGCAUUUGCUUGAUCACGGGGUGUGGCCUGACUGAUGGGAUUGCUUUUAAAGUGUCACAGGUGGUUCUCUUGUGCAGCCACAGCCCAGAAGCACUGCCGUAAGCCGAUUUCAAAGUUCCUAAUUUUCCCCUUAAACAGCUUAAAGUAUAGAAAAUAAACGGUGUCUAUGCCACAGGGAUACUGGCUCCACCAAGGGUGCACAUUGUGACAAAGUGCUGGACCUCUGUGAGGUUCCGAAGUUCUCUCCUUCCUAUCAUUUGGGUAAAAGGAGUGACUAACCCACAGGGUUGUGUGGUGAAGGUUGACUGAGGUAAGUACGUAAAAUGUGCCUGGCGGAGAGUAACAUUUCGUAACCGUUGGCUCUUACGUUCACUAUUAAUGUUAGGACUGGUUUUCGCAAUCUUAGCAGGUGAUAGAAACUAGUUUUAUUUAAAGGCGGGGGGGAAACUAGCUGACUCAGGUAACCCCACCUAGGAAAGUACAGGGUGGGUGUGGCCCCGGGACAACUGGGUCCAAGGGGUCAACCCCGUAGAUUCUUUUCCUCUUCUCUCUCAUUUCUGCUUUUCUUCUUCUCGGCAGCCUCAGGCCACGGGCCCACUUCUCUGCCAGGAGGAGACGACCACUCAGGCUGACCCGGCACACAUUCUGGGACCACAAAGGAAAAAGAGAAGCAGGGUACAGAUGAGUGCUUCGGCAGAGGAGGGAGUCCUUUCAAUGAAGAAGUAGAGUGAUUCUGACAUCUGCUAAGUGGAUAAGUACACUGGCUCCACCAGCUCACUGCUUUCUUCUCGUUCUACCCUGUGAAAUCCCUUUUAGCCAACCCUUGAUCAAUUCAUUAACCCCUUGCAGAAAUAAAUUAUGGAGAAGCACGUCCA